UCAGGGAGAGGGCAGCCUUGGCUUCAUUCAGAAUCAAAUGACAUUAUUUCCUCUUACCCAAUAUUAGUCAUAUGCUCAUCCCCUUUUUUUAUAGUAGAUGAACAGCUCUGUUUGGAUCUCCCUGAACUUCAAAAAGACCUUUGUAUGCAGAGCUGUUGCAGAGAGGCAAAUGAUUAUGGGAUCAUUUAUUUAUAUUAUUAUGGCACAAUAGAAGUCACUUUGGUCCUUGAAUGUGUUCCAGUGACUCAAGAUAUUUUUUCCGAUGUUUUCUGACCUCUGCUCCUUUUCAAAUUCUCCCAUCUCUGAUAAAUUAGCUUCAAAACCACAGAAAAACCACAGCUGUGUUUGUUCAUCAGGGGCAUGAAGAAUGAAAGUAACUGUUUUCAUGAGGAAUCUUCAAAGGAGAGAAGCAGGCAACGUGGCUCCCAGGAAAAUGGCUUGAACAGAACCCAUGAGAGGAAGGCUGUCAGUUCAUGGAAGGGUUAUUCAUGAAUGCUUGUAGUAAAUCAGGUAUACCAGAAACCCUGGCCACAGAAAAAGCAGAGCCACACUGAGAGCUGACAGUGGCAAUGGGGACCCCACAAGGACAACUGUACUGCUGAUUACAGAACAACCAGUCCAGAUGGAGCAGGAGGACCCACAGAUAAUUUAUCAUUGAGGUCUGGCAGCCAAGAUGGCCGAAUAGGAACAGCUCUGGUCUACAGCUCCCAGCGUGAGCGACGCAGAAGACGGGUGA
Molecule: long non-coding RNA, 736 nt
Filed under: Homo sapiens (human)
Lineage: Eukaryota; Metazoa; Chordata; Mammalia; Primates; Hominidae
Description: HSALNT0306740
Source: RNAcentral